Amblyraja radiata (thorny skate) is the source of this 215-nucleotide long non-coding RNA. RefSeq lists it as uncharacterized. Lineage: Eukaryota; Metazoa; Chordata; Chondrichthyes; Rajiformes; Rajidae. The record is from RefSeq and is a predicted model, not a curated record. The transcript is spliced from 3 exons.
UGAGGUUUGACAAGUAAAAUGGAUAAGGGAGAGCCAGUGGGUGUAGUGUAUCUGGAAUUUCAGAAAGCCUUUUAUACGUAUGGUCCCACAGGAGAUUGGUUGGCAAAAUUAGAGCACAUGGUAUUGGGGGUAGGGUAUUGACAUGGAUAGAAAAUUGGUUGGCAGGACAGGAAACAGAAUUAACGGUUCCCUUUCAGAAUGACAGGUAGUGACUA